CCUACGGGAGGCAGCAGUGGGGGAUAUUGCACAAUGGGGGAAACCCUGAUGCAGCGACGCCGCGUGAGCGAUGAAGUAUUUCGGUAUGUAAAGCUCUAUCAGCAGGGAAGAAAAUGAUGGUACUUGCUUACGAAGCCGCGGCUAAUUACGAGCUAGCAGCCGCGGUAAUACGUAGGGGGCAAGCGUUAUCCGGAUUUACUGGGUGUAAAGGGAGCGUAGACGGCAAUGCAAGUCUGAAGUGAAAGGCAAGGGCUCAACCCUUGGACUGCUUUGGAAACUGUACUGCUGGAGUGUCGGAGAGGUAAGUGGAAUUCCUAGUGUAGCGGUGAAAUGCGUAGAUAUUAGGAGGAACACCAGUGGCGAAGGCGGCUUACUGGACGAUAACUGACGUUGAGGCUCGAAAGCGUGGGGAGCAAACAGGAUUAGAUACCCGAGUAGUC
RNAcentral lists this ribosomal RNA (440 nucleotides) under uncultured bacterium. RNAcentral's name for it is "partial 16S ribosomal RNA". It matches the Rfam family "Bacterial small subunit ribosomal RNA", at positions 338 to 795 of the family's 1533-position model. The record is from RNAcentral.